UCCGGUUUGUCACCGGCAGUCUGGCGUGAGUCCCCAACUUAAUGCUGGCAACACACCACGGGGGUUGUGCUCGUUGCGGGACUUAACCCAACAUCUCACGACACGAGCUGACGACAGCCACGCACCACCUGUGAUCGAGUCCCGAAGGAGGGCCGUAUUUCUACGGCUUUCCCGACCAUGUCAAGCCUUGGUAAGGUUCUUCGCGUCGCGUCGAAUUAAAGAACAUGCUCCGCUGCUUGUGCGGGCCCCCGUCAAUUCUUUUGAGUUUUAGCCUUGCGGCCGUACUCCCCAGGCGGAACACUUAUCGCGUUGGCUUCGGCACGGACAGAUUCGACUCCGCCCACACCUAGUGUUCAUCGUUUACGGCGUGGACUAC
Molecule: unclassified non-coding RNA, 376 nt
Filed under: uncultured Actinomycetes bacterium
Lineage: Bacteria; Bacillati; Actinomycetota; Actinomycetes
Description: uncultured actinobacterium contains 16S-23S intergenic spacer region
Source: RNAcentral